AAUGCUAACAGUAUGCCUCGUCUUAAAUUAAGAUUAUUGGCUGUGUUAUCUAGUGGAAACCUGGGGAAUGGCAAUAUUACAGGUCGCACUGAAACAGAGCGCAAAACAGAGAUCUACACACAUGCAAAAGGAAUUUCUCACUCGAUACAAAACGUGGAUUUAAUAUCUUUUAGAAUAUUUUCUGGUUUUUGGAGAAACACCUGCAACUGGAUACGGACAUUUAUAAGAUACAAUUUUCUCCCCGAAUCGAGAACAGAGAAAGUAUCGCCAAAAACAGUUGGAAGGAUGACACGCAAAUUCUUGGGAUGGUGGCCAACGAUGAAAAAAGCACUUGACUGCUGGGCGAGAAGAAAGGACAGGUUGUGCUUGGCUUCUUGGAUGCCAUGGGCCCAAAUACUGACCUGCCGUAAUCAUGUGGUGACACUGAGCUAGAAAUGGACGUCAAGUGGGGGAAAAGAGUUGGUGGUGUGUGGAGAUUCCAAGGAGAACAUGUGGUUCAUGGGUUUACUAUUGAUUAACUGAGUGUUUAAUAAGUGUUUUAGUUGUUGAUCUUCAACUAGUCUGACCUGAGGUGGAGGCCAGAUAAGAAUCGUUUUUUUGCCAGUGCCAGGAUGGGGCCUUGUUGCACCCCAAAACCUCCCAGCAGCACCAUGCUUGCCUCACCCUCCUCCUAUCUCCUCCACACCCUUAGCCGUUGAUCCCUGCCUUGAGAUACCAGGAGCUUGGACUCCUCUGCAGCCAGCCAAAUCAGAUAGAGGAUGGACACCCGCAGAUCCUCGCUAGCCCACGUCCUCUAACCUGCACAAUAGGGUUGGGGUGGUUUCAUCAGUUCUUAAUCACUGAUGUUGUGUUCAGUGAUUUAUUAAAUUAAUUAAGUUCAUUAUCUUACAGAGUUGUUGGCAAACUUUUAAAACCAUAUACAUGAUUUAAGACUCAAGAGCUUCAACCCAUCACCAUGGUAACCCACUGCAGCAUAACCCUCAGUGACAGCCACACAGAGAAGCGGGUUCAAUGGUUGACACCUUCUUUCCCUUCUGAACAACGGACUCUUGUCAAAACAAACAACCACAAUAACAAAGUGAUUUUUGAACAUCCGAGUGACAGAAAUGGACAUUGAGGAACAUCUGAAAGAUGAGUGUAAUGGCAUAACCUGGGUUCUCCAAACACAUUCACAGAGCGGCUCAGACCACCUGACCAUAAUUGGACUUGCGGAGGAGGGAGAAGUAAAAAGUGGACAUUUCAAAAUAUAUGUGUGUGUGUAAAGCAUCUCUCACCGUGUGGUCAGAGCCAGCACUCAGGAGUAUGGUCACUUCCAGCAGGAAGGUGAGCACCUCUGUAGAUCUGCUGUGAGCCUGGUAGCGGCCCAUGCAGAUAGAGGCUGGAACUGAUCACAGCCUCACCUCUCCAGACAGCCAGUGCACAGCAGAGAGGAGGAGGGAGAGAAGGACGGACUGCGUACUGACCUCUGAUAACCAGAUAGAGUCUGGGAGGGAGGAAGGAGGAAUUAGGAAAGGAAGGUUGCGUUAAAACGACGAGGGCAAAAACAUUGUAGUUACUCCACAAUACUAACCUAAUUGACAAAGUGAAAAGAAGAAAGCUUGUACAGAAUAGCAAUGAACUUUUUGUCUUGUAUACAAAGUUUUAAUGGUUGGGGCAAAUCCAAUACAACACAUUACUGAGUACCACUCUCCAUUUUUUCAAGCAUAGU
Coregonus clupeaformis (lake whitefish) is the source of this 1708-nucleotide long non-coding RNA. RefSeq lists it as uncharacterized. The record is from RefSeq and is a predicted model, not a curated record. The transcript is spliced from 4 exons. NCBI's taxonomy places the organism in Eukaryota, Metazoa, Chordata, Actinopteri, Salmoniformes, Salmonidae.